GAAAUCUGGCCUCACGGUCCGAGUUGUAAUUUGUAGAGGAUGUCUCGGGCGCGACGCCGGUCUAAGUUCCUUGGAACAGGACGUCAUAGAGGGUGAGAAUCCCGUACGUGACCGGCCGUCAACCCCAUGUGAGGCUCCUUCGACGAGUCGAGUUGUUUGGGAAUGCAGCUCUAAAUGGGUGGUAAAUUUCAUCUAAAGCUAAAUACCGGCCAGAGACCGAUAGCGCACAAGUAGAGUGAUCGAAAGAUGAAAAGCACUUUGAAAAGAGAGUUAAAAAGUACGUGAAAUUGUUGAAAGGGAAGCGCUUGCAACCAGACUUGUCCGCAGGCGAUCUUCCGUUCUUCGGAGCCACCGCACGUGGAGCAGGCCAGUAUCGGUUUCGGCAGUCGGACAAAGGCUCUGGGAACGUAGCUCCUCUCGGGGAGUGUUAUAGCCCGGGGUGCAAUGCGAUUAGCUGGGACCGAGGACCGCGCU
This 474-nucleotide ribosomal RNA is filed under the name Lambiella fuscosora. RNAcentral's name for it is "eukaryotic LSU rRNA". It matches the Rfam family "Eukaryotic large subunit ribosomal RNA", at positions 117 to 601 of the family's 3401-position model. The record is from RNAcentral. Lineage: Eukaryota; Fungi; Ascomycota; Lecanoromycetes; Baeomycetales; Xylographaceae.